Molecule: ribosomal RNA, 253 nt
Filed under: uncultured bacterium
Lineage: Bacteria
Description: partial 16S ribosomal RNA
Rfam family: Bacterial small subunit ribosomal RNA
Source: RNAcentral
UACGAGGGGGGCAAGCGUUGUUCGGAAUUAUUGGGCGUAAAGGGUGCGUAGGCUGUGCGGUAAGUCACCUGUGAAAACUCUGGGCUCAGCCCAGAGCCUGCAGGCGAAACUGCCGUGCUGGAGUAUGGGAGAGGUGCGUGGAAUUCCCGGUGUAGCGGUGAAAUGCGUAGAUAUCAUUUGGAACGCCAAUGGUGAAAACAGCUCGCUGGGGGUUUGCUGACGCUGAGACACGAAAGCCAGGGGAGCAAACGGG